Molecule: ribosomal RNA, 274 nt
Filed under: uncultured bacterium
Lineage: Bacteria
Description: partial 16S ribosomal RNA
Rfam family: Bacterial small subunit ribosomal RNA
Source: RNAcentral
AUACGUAGGUCCCGAACGUUGCGCGAAAUUACUGGGCGUAAAGGGUCCGUAGGCGGUCUGGUAAGUGGAAGGUGAAAGCCUGGGGCUCAACUCCAGAAUUGCCUUCCAAACUGCCGGACUUGAGGCAGGGAGAGGUCGGCGGAAUUCCCGGUGUAGCGGUGAAAUGGGUAGAUAUCGGGAGGAACACCAGUGGCGAAGGCGGCCGACUGGAACUGUCCUGACGCUGAGGGACGAAAGCCAGGGGAGCGAACCGGAUUAGAAACCCUAGUAGUCC